Molecule: ribosomal RNA, 450 nt
Filed under: uncultured Lysobacterales bacterium
Lineage: Bacteria; Pseudomonadati; Pseudomonadota; Gammaproteobacteria; Lysobacterales
Description: bacterial SSU rRNA
Rfam family: Bacterial small subunit ribosomal RNA
Source: RNAcentral
GUGGGGAAUAUUGGACAAUGGGGGCAACCCUGAUCCAGCGACGCCGCGUGUGUGAAGAAGGCCUGCGGGUUGUAAAGCACUUUUAGUGGGGAUGAAAAGCCGAAGGCUAAUACCUUUCGGUCUUGACCUAACCCAAAGAAAAAGCACCGGCUAACUCUGUGCCAGCAGCCGCGGUAAUACAGAGGGUGCAAGCGUUAAUCGGAAUUACUGGGCGUAAAGCGUGCGUAGUCGGUUAUUCAAGUCGGGUGUGAAAGCCCCGGGCUCAACCUGGGAAUUGCAUUCGAUACUGGAUAGCUAGAGUUCGGCAGAGGGAAGCGGAAUUUCCGGUGUAGCGGUGAAAUGCGUAGAUAUCGGAAGGAACAUCAGUGGCGAAAGCGGCUUCCUGGACCAGAACUGACGAUCAGGCACGAAAGCGUGGGGAGCAAACAGGAUUAGAAACCCGUGUAGUCC